GUAGGUGGCAAGCGUUGUCCGGAAUUAUUGGGCGUAAAGCGCGCGCAGGUGGUUCUUUAAGUCUGAUGUGAAAGCCCCCGGCUCAACCGGGGAGGGUCAUUGGAAACUGGGGAACUUGAGUGCAGGAGAGGAAAGUGGAAUUCCACGUGUAGCGGUGAAAUGCGUAGAUAUGUGGAGGAACACCAGUGGCGAUGGCGACUUUCUGGCCUGUAACUGACACUGAGGCGCGAAAGCGUGGGGAGCAAACAGGGAUUAGAUACCCUGGUAGUCCACGCCGUAAACGAUGAGUGCUAAGUGUUGGGGGGGUUUCCCGCCCCUCAGUGCUGCAGCUAACGCAUUAAGCACUCCGCCUGGGGAUACGGUCGCAAGACUG
RNAcentral lists this ribosomal RNA (373 nucleotides) under uncultured organism. RNAcentral's name for it is "partial 16S ribosomal RNA". It matches the Rfam family "Bacterial small subunit ribosomal RNA", at positions 527 to 896 of the family's 1533-position model. The record is from RNAcentral.